Molecule: ribosomal RNA, 111 nt
Filed under: uncultured Saccharofermentans sp.
Lineage: Bacteria; Bacillati; Bacillota; Clostridia; Eubacteriales; Oscillospiraceae
Source: RNAcentral
GGUGGUGAUUACUGUGAGGCCACACCUGUUCCCAUCCCGAACACAGAAGUUAAGCUCACUUGUGCCGAAAAUACUUGACUGGAGACGGUCUGGAAAGAUAGGUUGCUGCCG